CAAAUUAGAGCUUGUUAAAGUAUUUCACUACAUUGAAAAGAAAUUAAAAUUUAAUUAAUUUGA
Molecule: transfer RNA, 63 nt
Filed under: Minois dryas
Lineage: Eukaryota; Metazoa; Arthropoda; Insecta; Lepidoptera; Nymphalidae
Description: tRNA-Val
Source: RNAcentral